Molecule: ribosomal RNA, 468 nt
Filed under: uncultured bacterium
Lineage: Bacteria
Description: partial 16S ribosomal RNA
Rfam family: Bacterial small subunit ribosomal RNA
Source: RNAcentral
GACGAACGCUGGCGGCGUGCUUAACACAUGCAAGUCGAACGGAAAGGCCCUGCUUUUGUGGGGUGCUCGAGUGGCGAACGGGUGAGUAACACGUGAGUAACCUGCCCUUGACUUUGGGAUAACUUCAGGAAACUGGGGCUAAUACCGGAUAGGAGCUCCUGCUGCAUGGUGGGGGUUGGAAAGUUUCGGCGGUUGGGGAUGGACUCGCGGCUUAUCAGCUUGUUGGUGGGGUAGUGGCUUACCAAGGCUUUGACGGGUAGCCGGCCUGGGAGGGUGACCGGCCACAUUGGGACUGAGAUACAGCCCAGACUCCUACGGGAGGCAACAGUGGGGAAUAUUGCACAGUGGGCGGAAGCCUGAUGCAGCAACGCCGCGUGCGGAAUGACGGCCUUCGGGUUGUAAACCGCUUUCGCCUGUGACGAAGCGUGAGUGACGGUAAUGGGUAAAGAAGCACCGGCUAACUACGUG